AGGUACUCCAGUACAUUCCGGUUCCUGCGCACUGUCCGCUCUUCGCUGGCGGCCGCUCGCGACACGAUGAGAGCC
RNAcentral lists this small RNA (75 nucleotides) under Crenobacter oryzisoli. RNAcentral describes it as "sX9 sRNA". It matches the Rfam family "Xanthomonas sRNA sX9". The record is from RNAcentral. Lineage: Bacteria; Pseudomonadati; Pseudomonadota; Betaproteobacteria; Neisseriales; Neisseriaceae.